RNAcentral lists this transfer RNA (87 nucleotides) under Psychrobacter piechaudii. It matches the Rfam family "tRNA". Rfam says of the family: Transfer RNA (tRNA) molecules are approximately 80 nucleotides in length. Lineage: Bacteria; Pseudomonadati; Pseudomonadota; Gammaproteobacteria; Moraxellales; Moraxellaceae. The record is from Rfam by way of RNAcentral.
GGUGAAGUGGGUGAGUGGCUGAAACCGCACCCCUGCUAAGGGUGUAUACGUUAACGCGUAUCGAGGGUUCGAAUCCCUCCUUCACCG